This 638-nucleotide ribosomal RNA is filed under the name uncultured bacterium. RNAcentral's name for it is "bacterial SSU rRNA". It matches the Rfam family "Bacterial small subunit ribosomal RNA", at positions 202 to 830 of the family's 1533-position model. The record is from RNAcentral.
AAAGUGGCUGAGGCCAUGAACAUGGAUGGACCUGCGGUGCAUUAGCUAGUUGGUGAGGUAACGGCCCACCAAGGCGACGAUCAGUAGCCGACCUGAGAGGUUGAUCGGCCACAUUGGGACUGAGACACGGCCCAAACUCCUACGGGAGGCAGCAGUAGGGAAUCUUCCACAAUGGACGAAAGUCUGAUGGAGCAACGCCGCGUGAAUGAAGAAGGCCUUCGGGUCGUAAAAUUCUGUUGUCAGAGAAGAACGUGCGUGAGAGUAACUGUUCACGUAUUGACGGUAUCUGACCAGAAAGCCACGGCUAACUACGUGCCAGCAGCCGCGGUAAUACGUAGGUGGCGAGCGUUGUCCGGAUUUAUUGGGCGUAAAGGGAACGCAGGCGGUCUUUUAAGUCUGAUGUGAAAGCCUUCGGCUUAACCGAAGUAGUGCAUUGGAAACUGGAAGACUUGAGUGCAGAAGAGGAGAGUGGAACUCCAUAUGUAGCGGUGAAAUGCGUAGAUAUAUGGAAGAACACCAGUGGCGAAAGCGGCUCUCUGGUCUGUAACUGACGCUGAGGUUCGAAAGCGUGGGUAGCAAACAGGAUUAGAUACCCUGGUAGUCCACGCCGUAAACGAUGAGUGCUAAGUGUUGGAGGG